CCUACGGGAGGCAGCAGUGGGGAAUAUUGGACAAUGGGCGCAAGCCUGAUCCAGCAAUGCCGCGUGAGUGAUGAAGGCCUUCGGGUUGUAAAGCUCUUUCGCACGCGACGAUGAUGACGGUAGCGUGAGAAGAAGCCCCGGCUAACUUCGUGCCAGCAGCCGCGGUAAUACGAAGGGGGCUAGCGUUGUUCGGAAUUACUGGGCGUAAAGGGCGCGUAGGCGGUACUUCAAGUCAGGCGUGAAAGCCCCGGGCUCAACCUGGGAACCGCGCUUGAGACUGGAGAACUAGAGUUCGGGAGAAGAUGGUGGAAUUCCCAGUGUAGAGGUGAAAUUCGUAGAUAUUGGGAAGAACACCGAUGGCGAAGGCAGCCAUCUGGACCGACACUGACGCUGAGGCGCGAAAGCGUGGGGAGCAAACAGGAUUAGAUACCCUGGUAGUCCACGCCGUAAACGAUGAGUGCUACACGUUGGGGCCCUUAAGGCUUCGGUGUCGCAGCUAACGCAUUAAGC
This 510-nucleotide ribosomal RNA is filed under the name uncultured bacterium. Its description in RNAcentral is "bacterial SSU rRNA". It matches the Rfam family "Bacterial small subunit ribosomal RNA", at positions 338 to 865 of the family's 1533-position model. The record is from RNAcentral.